RNAcentral lists this ribosomal RNA (427 nucleotides) under uncultured beta proteobacterium. Its description in RNAcentral is "bacterial SSU rRNA". It matches the Rfam family "Bacterial small subunit ribosomal RNA", at positions 353 to 772 of the family's 1533-position model. The record is from RNAcentral. Lineage: Bacteria; Pseudomonadati; Pseudomonadota; Betaproteobacteria.
AGUGGGGAAUUUUGGACAAUGGGGGAAACCCUGAUCCAGCCAUGCCGCGUGAGUGAAGAAGGCCUUCGGGUUGUAAAGCUCUUUUGGCCGGGAAGAAAGGGUUCGGGCGAAUAACCUGGGUCUUUGACGGUACCGGCAGAAUAAGCACCGGCUAACUACGUGCCAGCAGCCGCGGUAAUACGUAGGGUGCGAGCGUUAAUCGGAAUUACUGGGCGUAAAGCGUGCGUAGGCGGUUCGUUAUGUCUGCUGUGAAAUCCCCGGGCUCAACCUGGGAAUGGCAGUGGAAACUGGCGGGCUUGAGUGUGGCAGAGGGGGGUGGAAUUCCGCGUGUAGCAGUGAAAUGCGUAGAGAUGCGGAGGAACACCGAUGGCGAAGGCAGCCCCCUGGGCUGACACUGACGCUGAGGCACGAAAGCGUGGGGAGCAAA